UCGCUCCGUGCUAUAUAGCUUCAGUCUCACACAACUAUUCAAAAGUUCAACAUCUAAAUUUCCAUCAAAUUUAAUUCUGCCAAAAUGUUCAUCGGUCCAGUCCAAAAAGAACAUCUGCACAACAUGAUCCUAGGCUGUGGCUGGCCUUGCGGGUCGUUGAGCGGUCCCUGCUGCUGCAGCGGUUGCUGCGGCAGUUGUUGUGGAAGCUGUUGCGGUGGGUGCUGCGGCGGCUGCUAACAUUGAAUGAGGGGGACUAGGACUACACAAGGAUCGAUGUCAACUGAUGUGCAGAAACAUAUAAAAUACAUUCACCAUCCGUUGUUUAAUAAGAAGUGAGGCUGAAAAUCGACCAACAUUUGAGAAACCGAAGUUGUAAUACCUGUGAGCUAAGGAAUGGAGUUUAUUGCUGCAGAUCCCUAAAAAAA
Molecule: long non-coding RNA, 425 nt
Organism: Drosophila navojoa
Lineage: Eukaryota; Metazoa; Arthropoda; Insecta; Diptera; Drosophilidae
Source: RefSeq, a predicted model, not a curated record